RNAcentral lists this ribosomal RNA (607 nucleotides) under Xenopolyscytalum sp. CCF 4157. Its description in RNAcentral is "eukaryotic LSU rRNA". It matches the Rfam family "Eukaryotic large subunit ribosomal RNA", at positions 1 to 609 of the family's 3401-position model. Lineage: Eukaryota; Fungi; Ascomycota; Leotiomycetes; Helotiales; Hamatocanthoscyphaceae. The record is from RNAcentral.
UUGACCUCGGAUCAGGUAGGGAUACCCGCUGAACUUAAGCAUAUCAAUAAGCGGAGGAAAAGAAACCAACAGGGAUUGCCUCAGUAACGGCGAGUGAAGCGGCAACAGCUCAAAUUUGAAAUCUGGCUCUUUUAGGGUCCGAGUUGUAAUUUGUAGAAGAUGCUUCGGGUGUGGCUCCGGUCUAAGUUCCUUGGAACAGGACGUCAUAGAGGGUGAGAAUCCCGUACGUGACUGGUUGCCUUCGCCCAUGUGAAGCUCUUUCGACGAGUCGAGUUGUUUGGGAAUGCAGCUCAAAAUGGGUGGUAGAUUUCAUCUAAAGCUAAAUAUUGGCCAGAGACCGAUAGCGCACAAGUAGAGUGAUCGAAAGAUGAAAAGCACUUUGGAAAGAGAGUUAAACAGUACGUGAAAUUGUUGAAAGGGAAGCGCUUGCAACCAGACUUGCGCGCUGCCGAUCAUCCGGGGUUCUCUCCGGUGCACUCGGUUGCGUUCAGGCCAGCAUCGGUUUGGGUGGUUGGAUAAAGGCCUUGGGAAUGUAGCUUCUUUCGGGGAGUGUUAUAGCCCUCGGUGCAAUGCAGCCUACCUGGACCGAGGACCGCGCUUCGGCUAG